RNAcentral lists this ribosomal RNA (253 nucleotides) under uncultured bacterium. RNAcentral's name for it is "partial 16S ribosomal RNA". It matches the Rfam family "Bacterial small subunit ribosomal RNA", at positions 524 to 776 of the family's 1533-position model. The record is from RNAcentral.
UACGUAGGGUCCAAGCGUUAAUCGGAAUUACUGGGCGUAAAGCGUGCGCAGGCGGUUCGUUAAGUCAGCUGUGAAAGCCCCGGGCUCAACCUGGGAAUUGCGGUUGAAACUGGCGAACUAGAAUCUGGCAGAGGGGGGUGGAAUUCCACGUGUAGCAGUGAAAUGCGUAGAGAUCCGGAGGAACCCCAGAGGCGAAGGCGGCGCCCUAGCUCGGUUCUGACGCUGAGACGCGAAAGCAUGGGGAGCGAACGGG